CUGCUGCCUCCCGUAGGAGUUUGGUCCGUGUCUCAGUACCAAUGUGGGGGGUUAACCUCUCAGUCCCCCUAUGUAUCGUUGUCUUGGUGAGCCCGUUACCCCACCAACUAACUAAUACAACGCAUGCCCAUCCAUUACCACCGGAGUUUUCAACCCAAGAAGAUGCCUCCCUGGAUGUUAUGGGGUAUUAGUACCGAUUUCUCAGUGUUAUCCCCCUGUAAUGGGUAGGUUGCAUACGCGUUACGCACCCGUGCGCCGGUCGCCGACGUAGAUUG
This 275-nucleotide ribosomal RNA is filed under the name uncultured bacterium. RNAcentral describes it as "partial 16S ribosomal RNA". The record is from RNAcentral.